This 71-nucleotide transfer RNA is filed under the name Procavia capensis (Cape rock hyrax). RNAcentral describes it as "tRNA-Gly (TCC) (tRNA-Gly-TCC-8-1)". It matches the Rfam family "tRNA". From Rfam's summary of the family: Transfer RNA (tRNA) molecules are approximately 80 nucleotides in length. Their secondary structure includes four short double-helical elements and three loops (D, anti-codon, and T loops). The record is from RNAcentral. Lineage: Eukaryota; Metazoa; Chordata; Mammalia; Hyracoidea; Procaviidae.
GCAUUGGUGGUUCAGUGGUAAAAUUCUUACCUUCCAUGCAGAGGACCUGGGUUCAGUUCCCAGCCAAUGCA